RNAcentral lists this ribosomal RNA (465 nucleotides) under uncultured bacterium. RNAcentral describes it as "partial 16S ribosomal RNA". It matches the Rfam family "Bacterial small subunit ribosomal RNA", at positions 29 to 507 of the family's 1533-position model. The record is from RNAcentral.
AAUGAACGUUGGCGGCGUGGAUUAGGCAUGCAAGUCGAGCGAGAACCCCGCAAGGGGGGACAGCGGCGAAAGGGACAGUAAUGUGUAGAUUAUCUGCCCUCAGGUCCGGGAUAGCUGCGGGAAACUGCAGGUAAUACCUGAUAACAUCUCCGGAUCAAAGGUGUGAUUCCGCCUGAGGAUGAGUCUGCAUCCUAUUAGCUAGUUGGUGGGGUAAUGGCCUACCAAGGCAUUGAUGUGUAGCAGGUGUGAGAGCACGACCUGCGUCAUUGGGACUGAGACACUGCGCAGACACCUACGGGUGGCUGCAGUCGAGAAUCUUCGGCGAUGGGCGCAAGCCUGAACGAGCGACGCCGCGUGUGAGAUGAAGGCCUUCGGGUUGUAAACCACUGUCAGAGGGGAUGAAAUGCAGGUGGGUUCUCCCAUCUGUUUGACAUAGCCUCAGAGGAAGGACGGGCUAAGUUCGUG